RNAcentral lists this unclassified non-coding RNA (1348 nucleotides) under Octopus sinensis (East Asian common octopus). Its description in RNAcentral is "transcriptional repressor protein YY1, transcript variant X3". Lineage: Eukaryota; Metazoa; Mollusca; Cephalopoda; Octopoda; Octopodidae. The record is from RNAcentral.
UGUAGCAUAAGCGUCAUAGAAAGAAAGCAGUCAAAAUGGCGUCGGUUAUAGGAUCAGAAGUGGAGAUCCAAGAGGUUGAGGUGGAGUCCAUCCCCGUUGAAAUGCCCAUCGAGACGGUGGAAACCACAGACGAUACAGUCGAAGUGCAACCCAUGAUUGCUCUCCAGCCAUUACCCGAAGCGGCCCAAGAAGAGAUUGUUCUGCAGACUCGUGAGGAGGUGGUUGGUGAUCCGAACCUCGUGUAUGCUGACAGCAUCCCCGUACCAGCUCCAGAGAUUGAAAUAUCCACAGAAGAAGCAACCAUCACCCGGAAAGGCAAAGGUGGCAAGAGACGAGCCAAUAAAUCACGAAAUAUGAUAUCGACAUCAGCUGUAAAUUGUGGAGAACUGACGCUAGACACUAACUCUGCUACAAAGAAAUGGGAACAAAAGCAAGUACAGAUUAAAACUUUAGAAGGCGAAUUCUCAGUAACAAUGUGGGCUACAGGAUCUGAAGAUAAAUCCAAGCUGGAAGAUGAAAGUGUGUCGAGUGUCUCUGAAACGGAUGCAGAUUUUACUGAAUAUAUGACAGGGAAAAAGCUUCCACCAGGUGGCAUACCUGGGCUUGAUUUAAGUGAUCCGAAACAGUUGGCAGAAUUUGCACGUAACACCUCUACAGUACGUGCGAGGAAAGAAAAACGUGACCUGACCGUUGACCUGGAUGGGCUUUACCAUUCGCGCCUUUCUGGAAUAAAACCAAGAAAGCCUACUGAUGAUGUUCCCCGUACAGUGCCCUGCCCUCAUAAGGGUUGUAAUAAAAUGUUCAGAGAUAAUUCUGCUAUGAGAAAACACCUUCACACCCACGGGCCUCGGGUGCAUGUGUGUGCUGAGUGUGGUAAAGCCUUUGUGGAAAGUUCCAAACUGAAAAGGCAUCAGUUAGUUCACACUGGUGAAAAACCAUUCCAGUGUACAUUUGAAGGGUGUGGCAAGCGGUUUUCUCUUGACUUUAAUUUAAGGACACAUGUACGAAUACACACUGGUGAUAGACCUUAUGUCUGUCCAUUUGAUGGCUGCAACAAAAAAUUUGCUCAGUCUACAAAUUUGAAAUCUCAUAUCCUCACACAUGCUAAAGCAAAAACGAGAUGUGCAGAUGAACUGAAUUUAAUGCAGGGAAUUGGCAUAUGUAGUUAUGAUGAUGGGAGUGAAUUGCUUAUGCUCUAGUCCACGGUGCUCACGUCGGCGAGCCUGAGACACCACAAGCCCCCUGAAUUUAAUGGUCUCUAAACUCAAGAAGCUUCCUGCUGGAAAAUACUGUAUAUUGUGAGGAAGAAGCAGAUGAUUGUUAGCAGCCUUUCUUUCCUGGAUUCCUA